Molecule: ribosomal RNA, 468 nt
Filed under: uncultured bacterium
Lineage: Bacteria
Description: partial 16S ribosomal RNA
Rfam family: Bacterial small subunit ribosomal RNA
Source: RNAcentral
GACGAACGCUGGCGGCGUGCUUAACACAUGCAAGUCGAACGGAAAGGCCCUGCUUUUGUGGGGUGCUCGAGUGGCGAACGGGUGAGUAACACGUGAGUAACCUGCCCUUGACUUUGGGAUAACUUCAGGAAACUGGGGCUAAUACCGGAUAGGAGCUCCUGCUGCAUGGUGGGGGUUGGAAAGUUUCGGCGGUUGGGGCUGGACUCGCGGCUUAUCAGCUUGUUGGUGGGGUAGUGGCUUACCAAGGCUUUGACGGGUAGCCGGCCUGAGAGGGUGACCGGCCACAUUGGGACUGAGAUACGGCCCAGACUCCUACGGGAGGCAGCAGUGGGGAAUAGUGCACAAUGGGCGGAAGCCUGAUGCAGCAACGCCGCGUGCGGGAUGACGGCCUUCGGGUUGUAAACCGCUUUCGACUGUGACGAAGCGUGAGUGACGGUAAUGGGUAAAGAAGCACCGGCUAACUACGUG